CUGAAGAACCCAAAAGAUCGAAUGGGGAGAUUCAUCGUCAACAACGCUGGCUCCCGUUGGUGCGCGAUGCCCCGGAUGGAACCUUCGGGUUUCAUUAGCGAGGGCACACCACCUUCGGCGAACGUUCCGGCGAAGUAGUCGUGCACUUCUCCCCUAGUAGAACGUCGCGACCCGUUGCGUGUCGGUCUACGGUCCGAGGCGGAGCCUGUCCGUCGCCUUGGCGCGUUCGUGACAGACCCUCGGUUACCCGGCCGACUGCGCGACGGUACUCAAACGGUAUCGGGCCGCAACCAAUCCAUUUUCGAAUGUGUGUGCGUCAGGACCGCCGCAAGCUCGGUUCAGUAUACCCCCGGAUGCACGGACUAUGCGCCGUCCCCGGGCCUGGCCAGCUGUUAGCAGGCGGAGUCCUUGGACUGGCCAAGCUUCGAAUUACCGGUCGGCGACGCUAUUGCUUUGGGUACUCUCAGGACCCGUCUUGAAACACGGACCAAGGAGUCUAACAUGUGCGCGAGUCAUUGGGAUAUAUAAAACCUAAAGGCGAAAUGAAAGUGAAAGUCGUCCUUUGCGUCGACCUAGGGAGGAUGGGCCUCGUUACGAUUAGGCCUCGCACUCCCGGGGCGUCUCGUUCUCAUUGCGAGGAGAGGCGCACCCAGAGCGUACACGUUGGGACCCGAAAGAUGGUGAACUAUGCCUGGUCAGGACGAAGUCAGGGGAAACCCUGAUGGAGGUCCGUAGCGAUUCUGACGUGCAAAUCGAUCGUCGGAACUGGGUAUAGGGGCGAAAGACUAAUCGAACCAUCUAGUAGCUGGUUCCCUCCGAAGUUUCCCUCAGGAUAGCUGGCACUCGUUCUAACACGUGCGAGUCUCAUCUGGUAAAGCGAAUGAUUAGAGGCCUUGGGGCCGAAACGACCUCAACCUAUUCUCAAACUUUAAAUGGGUGAGAUCUCUGGCUUGCUUGGAUCAAAUGAAGCCAGAGAUUUUGGAUCAGAGUGCCAAGUGGGCCAAUUUUGGUAAGCAGAACUGGCGCUGUGGGAUGAACCAAACGCAGAGUUAAGGCGCCUAAGUCGACGCUCAUGGGAUACCAUGAAAGGCGUUGGUUGCUUAAGACAGCAGGA
Molecule: ribosomal RNA, 1114 nt
Filed under: Trachusa schoutedeni
Lineage: Eukaryota; Metazoa; Arthropoda; Insecta; Hymenoptera; Megachilidae
Description: eukaryotic LSU rRNA
Rfam family: Eukaryotic large subunit ribosomal RNA
Source: RNAcentral